Solanum tuberosum (potato) is the source of this 1590-nucleotide long non-coding RNA. RefSeq lists it as uncharacterized. The transcript is spliced from 4 exons. The record is from RefSeq and is a predicted model, not a curated record. Lineage: Eukaryota; Viridiplantae; Streptophyta; Magnoliopsida; Solanales; Solanaceae.
UUCCUUUCUUCUGGGGCAUUGGACAACUCAGAUUGGGCCACGUAAUUCAAGCGGAGUUUACUUUGGUGUCCCAGCAUAAACAAAAAAAUAAGUAGUAGGUGGUUUCUUCCUAUCCGUCUAAGUUUUGUUUUUAUGGACAAAGUUAUUUGAUAAUUGUCUUGAUGGGAGGUAAAAGUACCCGGUGAAAUAGACAGGGUGCAAAGGAUAGAAAGAAUUGUGAUACUUUUUGUAGGUGGUGGUCCAAUUUGUGCUGUCAUUCCAGUGUGCUUGUCCCUCUCAACUUUCCAUUUUCCACCUCUUCUCAUUCCCUUUUUUUUUUAACUAUGGUAAUUGUAGUAAGCUAAAAUGAAUGAUUACUGCCUUUGAGAUGCUUACAAGUAACGCAGCCUGUUCAUGUUUGCUAUGCACUUUGCCUAUCAACUGUGACAGGACCCAAGUCACUACGUGUAGUUUCAAAUUUUGUUAUCGAUUCCCCUUGAAUUUCCUCUAAUAUGGUCUUGGAGUAGGGCCAUUGAUAAGUGACUGCACAUUAUCGAUCGGCCCCCUCGAAGAGUAGUAUUUUGGGAGCACACAGAUUUGCAAGCAAUCAGUUUUCAUGAUGGUAUGAGAUUCAGGGGGUACCCAGUUAGGUAACCAUUCAUUGACUUUUAUCAACAUCUUAUCUUGUGGUUUUGGUGGUCAGAUAGAUGCACCAAAUGAAUCAGUUUUACUGGAGAUUUGAUUCGUUUCUUAGCUGGGAAUGCACUCACUAUGUGUAGUGAUUCACUUUACAAGGUGGAUAUGAAUUUGUGACCUCACUAAUUUGGAGGUUGGUGGUCUUCUUUUUAGGACAUGUAUAACAGCUUCACAUCAAUCACAAGUUCAAAAUACAGUUUGUACAGCUUAGUGGUUUUCGUUAUUUCCCUCUAUGGCACACCAGGGUAUGGUCCACCAGUUAAUGAUGUGGGAUGAAAAUCAUAAAAGAUCAAUGUUCAAAUUUCAGCAAAGAGCAAAAGGCAGUAGCCGAUACACGGAUAUAUUUAGAAACAUGCCGACAAUUUCAAGUUUGUGGAGAAGUAGAGAGGAAAAGGUCAAUGCAUAUGCAGUAAUGUGAAGGAGUCUAUCAAGUCUAAAGACUUUAAAGACUAUGGGGUAUGGGCAAUGAACCUUUUUGCAGAAGUAUGAAGUUAAGGACCACCAACGGAUGUGGUGCAUCAGGUAUGCAAUAUUUGUUCCUUCCUUAAUUAGAGGUCUUGAGUUCAAGUCCUAAAUAUGUAAAAUCCUUUGAAGGAAAUGCUUCCCCAAAUGUGAUCCUAUGUGACGAGAAUCCGAAAUAGUCAAAUUCUAAUGCGAUACUCAGACACCAAAUAGGAAAAAAAAGAGAAUGAAGUUAAGAACGACCUAGGAUAUAAUCAUAAUUUCACAACUAACAUAAUGACAUUUUAGAUAUUUUCCUAUGACUUCGAUGUAUGUUGGGUCCAUUUAUCUCAUCAUUCUGGACAAUUUAUAACCUUUGAACAUAGUUAUCCACGUGGCUAUGAGGAGCCAAACAUUAUUUGGUAACACAUUUAGGAAUUGUUUGGUACAAAAAUUAAUAACAUAAAGAUUAGU